RNAcentral lists this ribosomal RNA (464 nucleotides) under uncultured bacterium. RNAcentral's name for it is "partial 16S ribosomal RNA". It matches the Rfam family "Bacterial small subunit ribosomal RNA", at positions 339 to 795 of the family's 1533-position model. The record is from RNAcentral.
CUACGGGUUGCAGCAGUGGGGAAUAUUGCACAAUGGGCGCAAGCCUGAUGCAGCCAUGCCGCGUGUAUGAAGAAGGCCUUCGGGUUGUAAAGUACUUUCAGCGGGGAGGAAGGGAGUAAAGUUAAUACCUUUACUCAUCGACGUUACCCGCAGAAGAAGCACCGGCUAACUCCGUGCCAGCAGCCGCGGUAAUACGGAGGGUGCAAGCGUUAAUCGGAAUUACUGGGCGUAAAGCGCACGCAGGCGGUUUGUUAAGUCAGAUGUGAAAUCCCCGGGCUCAACCUGGGAACUGCAUCUGAUACUGGCAAGCUUGAGUCUCGUAGAGGGGGGUAGAAUUCCAGGUGUAGCGGUGAAAUGCGUAGAGAUCUGGAGGAAUACCGGUGGCGAAGGCGGCCCCCUGGACGAAGACUGACGCUCAGGUGCGAAAGCGUGGGGAGCAAACAGGAUUAGAUACCCUAGUACUC